Girardinichthys multiradiatus is the source of this 1555-nucleotide long non-coding RNA. RefSeq lists it as uncharacterized. The transcript has 2 exons. The record is from RefSeq and is a predicted model, not a curated record. Lineage: Eukaryota; Metazoa; Chordata; Actinopteri; Cyprinodontiformes; Goodeidae.
GUUUGGUCUGUACUGUAUAUAAAUAUAUAUAUAUAUAUAUAUAUAAAUAUAUAUAUAUAUAAAAAUAAAAGUAGGGGGCCAUUUGAAUUGUCUAUACGGUGCCACUGAGGUAUCAGCCAAUCACGCUGCCUUGUCUAAGCCUGGUCUGAUUUUAAUUUAAAGAGAAGUUCCUAAAACAUGAAUUAUCCCACUUUGGUAUAUCAGACAGUGACACUAAGCUGGUGGCUCUCCAAGUUACGGUCAGGACCCCAGUGUGGGUCAGAAAACAGAGUUUCAGACCUCGAGUCAUUUUAAUUCAGAAAUGAUUGAAGAAAUCACAAUUAUGCUCAUCUUUGAACACUUCAGCCAGAUUUAGUCAAGAUUAUUGAAAUAUUUUCCUGGGGAAAGGCAAUGGAAAUUUGUUAGGUAAUUUCACUUUUCUGGGGCUUUAGGGGUAAAAUGUUUAUUGUUUUUAUACCAAUAAUUUCUCACAAAAACUAGUUUUAAUAUGUUUGAGGUUGGAAGUAUGUGAGAAAAUAGACCUCAGAACUUCAUCUAUGCAGUCAGUUCAUCCAGCCUACAUUGAAAUGUUCUAUUGGAGUUUUCACAGCAGCGAAGCUCCGUGUUCUAAACAAAGCUAACCCCCAAAUUCCACAUCCUCCAUUAAGCCGGGCUCACACUGAACGCGGUGCAGAUGCGAUGCAGCUGCGGUGUGGUCGUGCUGCAGAAAGCCACUUAUACUGCGCUGCGGCCAGCCCGGCCCAGCUACGCCUCUGCCUGCGGAAACGGCGUUCCAGAGAGCGUGGGUUCACACUCUUUCUGGAAAUUCAAGCAAGAACUAGCCCAAACAUUUAGCAAGUCUCUCAUAAACAAAGCCCCUAUUUGGCCGUAUUUUGACCCCGUGUCACCUGUUAUGUAAUGUUCAUGUUUUGGAGCAUCCAGGUAAAACAAGAGAGGAAAAUCCCUGUCUCCUCCUUUCUGGUGCUCUCCCUCUAAAUGACUAAAAACAGUUAUGGAUUUCGAUUUCUAUAGCAAGACCCGUUAUCUGUGCGCAUAACUAUCGUUUUUCAUCCUCAAAUAGUGCCUUGUUCCCUAAUUUUUCAGUUUUUUGUUUUGUUUACAUUAGUCAAUUUAGCGUACGUUGGUGGGUUGAUUUUAUUAUGAAAAUCACAGGAACUCUCUCUUGUCUGGCUUCCUGUUUGGCUGGUAAAGUUCAUGAGCUUGAUGCAGAAGCCGCUGCGACAUCCGGUCAUACUUCCUUCCGGCCAAAUGUUUCCUUGCGGAAACAUUUCGUUGAGCUGCAUGGCCUCGGUAACUGCAACCACACUGCACCGUGGCUGAUUUUUAUUCAGACGGCUCUGCAGGAGGAGAGACAACAGUUCCAGGUUUGGAUGCGGUUUCCCAGAAGCUCCUAAAGAUGAUCUUCAUGUGUCCUACCAUCAUCUACUCCACUCUUUACACAUUUUCUACUUUAUAUAAAUAUUUGUAUAUGAUUAGACAGUCAAGGUAUCAAUUCCCUGUACCUCUGGACUGAUAAUCAGGUUUUUUUUAUAAUACAAUUUUUACCAAAAACAUU